AUACUCCUCUGCCGCCAUCCCUGCCCCCCGCGCCCAUUCGGACCUCGCCGGAACCCCGAGCCACCGGUGGGCAGACCAAACUGGUUCCGCCGUCUGUGUGCCGCAGAGCACCUCGCCGUUCCCUCCCCCGAGCGAAGUCCUCCCGAACGCCGUGCCACCGUGCCCUGAGCUUGCAAGGUCAAGAAAAGUAACCUUGCAUCCUUUGCCCCAAUCAGAAAUGGCCAUGAUCAAGAGGGUCCACGUUAAAAACUGAAAGCACAAGACAUGAUAUGUGCUUUGAUUAUCUUUCUCAUUCACCUUAGCAAAAGCAACGCAUCUUGGCAGAUGUGCAAAAGCAAAAGGAAAAAAAUUGUUUAUCCGCAUAUACAUAGCGGGAGGAAUACUUAUAUGGCCAAGGCUGCAGAGUAGUAGAUGGAGCCUAUGGGUUGGAAAAGAACCGGUUCCAAACCUGCGUAGCUAGAACUAGCUACGAAAGAGGUGAAGGAAAGAGCAAGAGUGUGGUGGAUAGUUGUGUCCAAGACACACUCCAUUGUGGGCUUAUGACCUACGUUUGUAUUUGGGAAAAAUUGAAUUUUCAAGUUUUUUUCUUUCUUUUUACCUGCAAAAAAAGAAUUUCCAAGUUUUUUUUUCUUCAUCUAGCUGGACGUAAGAUGAUUUUCCUUUCGACAUGCAUCUCCGAUGGUCGAGUUAUUAACGACUUAAUGUCGGGCCUGGAUGUCCCUGGUUGCUCCUGUAUGAGCUUCCUAGUUCUUGCGCUGUUAACAGAUAUGUGUACGUGCUGCAGGAAGGCGUACUAUCAUGAUGAACUAGAUCGGGCUCGUGCCUUGACGCGAGGGUGCCGGUCCCAACGUUUUGGUCAACC
This 862-nucleotide ribosomal RNA is filed under the name Triticum aestivum (bread wheat). Its description in RNAcentral is "partial small subunit ribosomal RNA". The record is from RNAcentral. Lineage: Eukaryota; Viridiplantae; Streptophyta; Magnoliopsida; Poales; Poaceae.